ACAGAUGGACCGUUAAGCCAGCCCAGGGGACGGCAGAGCAGCCUGAGGGAGCAAGAACUGUCACCACGGUCUGCCCGCGAAGCACUGAGGUGAUGCUGGGGUUGCAGUGAGCUGUCAAACUAGAUGUGUCAGAAAUGAGAAAGGAGAUGAGAGAACAAAUUAGAAUACAGAGUGAUCGACACUUUGAUGAAGGAAGUAAGUGGAGCCUGGGGUCCAUGAAACCCACUGCCAAACCAACCCAGACAGAGACAAAGUAUCCCUAUGUUUCCCAGGCUGAUCUCAAACUCCUGGCCUGAACUGACCUCCUGCCUCAACCGACCUCCUGCCUCAACCUCCAAAGCACUGGGAUUAACAGCAUAAGCCACUGUGCCCAGCCUAAUUUUUACUUUUCAACUUUGUACGUUGCGGUGUUUUUAAUACCCCUGCCAAGACCACAGUUUUAGACUCAGUGUGACAUUACAAGCAUCCUGGGUGGAACUGCAAGACAUAGUUAUUUCAAGAUUAUGAAGAGUGUGGUAGCCAAACUCCAAGAUGGCCGCAUGAUCCCUCCUCCAGGUACUCGUGCCCUUGUAUGGUAUGCUCCCACAGUCUUCCGAGGAUUCCGUUGUAUGACUGAUCGAAUACAGCAGAGGCGAUGGCAUAGGACAUCUGAGGCUACAUCAUCUAAGGGAUACACAGGAAUUCACUCCCAUCCUCCCAUGUGGCUUCUACUUUGCUCUUAAUCUCUCAGAUCUCUCACCCUGGCAGACACCAUCCACCAUGUCCUGAGGACACUCAAGCAGCUCUGUGGCCUCCUGACAAUAGCUGUUAGGUGAAACACCUUGGGUGCAGACCCUCUAGCCCCACUCCAGCCUUCAGAAGACAGCAGCCCCAGCUCACAUGGGACCCUGAGCCAGACCACCAAGCAAACCACUCCCAGAUUCCUGACCCACAGAAACUGUGAGAUAAUGAAAGUCUGCUGUUAGAAGUCACUAAGUUCAGUGUAACUGUCACGGGCAAGAGACAGCCAAUACAAUACUUUCGUGCUUCAUACAUCAUUUUUCCAUCUAUCCAAAAUGGGAAGAAUACUUCACAGACUUGAUGUGAAGCUGCAAGACUCCUGGUACUCCACUGAUGCAGUGUGGCUACCAGCAAAUGCUAAAUUGCAUCUUUGACUCCGCUGACACUCCUGAGGCAGUGCUGGUCCGGAUGUUUCUCAGUGUGGACUCCUCGUCCCAGACCGAGGAUGCUGGGGGUCCCUAACCUUCCACCUUCCACUCCAGCAACACUUUGCAUCUAGGGAGCAUCUGCAAUGCUAUGCACUACUUUUUUUAUUUAUUUUUUUUUUUUUGAGACAGAGUCUCCCUCUGUCACUCAACCUCCCAAGUUGCUGGGACUAUAGGCACCCGCCACCACACCUGGAUAAGUUUUUGUAUUUUUAGUAGAUACAGGGAAUCGCCAUGUUGGCCAGGCUGGUCUCGAACUCCUGACCUCAGGUGAUCCACCUGCCUCGGCCUCCCAAAGUACUAACAUUACCGGCCUGAGCCACCACACCCAGCCACUGUGUAUUUCUUGUGCAUUUUCACCCUGAAUCCUUACUAGGGUAUUAAGAAGUAGGUCUUAACCUCAGCCCCGUCUCACAGGUGAAGAAGCAAAAGAGAGGCUGACGGAUUUGUCCAAGGUAACACAGCACUCAGCAGGGUUGCAGUGGAGCCUCAGCUUGAACUGAGCAUGCCUACUGCAAACACUGGGAUGUGAAUCACCGUCGUAGUAUUCCCAAAGCCUUCGUCCACCUUUCCACGAGGUACAGCGCAGGAGCAUGUUAAAGCUGGCCACCAUCAACUCUAGGGAACUGCUCCUGCCUCAAAAGUGUCAGCAAUGCCUAAAGCUCUACAAUGUCAUUAAUCAAAAGUCAGCAAGGCCGAGGCGGACAGAUCACCUGAGGUCAGGAGCUCCAGACUAGUCUGGCCAACAUGGUGAAACACCGUCUCUACUAAAAGUACAAAAUCAGCCAGGCUGUGGUGGCGGGCACCUGUAAUCUCAGCUACUUGGGAGGCUAAGGGAGGAGAAUCGCUUGAACCUGGGAGGUACAGGUUGCAGUGAGCCAAGACCACCGCCAUUGCACUCCAGCCUGAGCGACGAGAUCAAAACCCCAACUCAAAAAAAAAAAAAAAAAAAAGUCAGCAAGCUUUGGCCUGGGGUCACCCCUUUAACUUCCUGGGCAGAGAGAGGGUCGUGUGUGUCUCAAGCAAGACCCUGUCUCAAAAGAGAGAGGGCGGGAGAGCAACGGAGAGAAAGAGGGAAGGACAGAGAGGUGCAGAGAAAGCGGGAGGGGGGUGGGAAGGAGAGGUGUAUAAAAAGAGAGAGAGACAAAGAUAUAGACAGACACAGAUAUCAAAAGAGAGAGAAACAGAGGGGGACAGAAGCUACCUACUCUUUCCUGUACCAGCCACAAGAAUUACUCAGACCCACCCACAGAGUUCUGGGAUUUCUGUUUCUGUACAUCGUUUCUGAACUUAUAAUGAGAAGACACAUAUUUUAUUGUUUCUCUUUUUGCAGUUUUCUAGUAGACAUUGGUCAUGGAAAAAUCUGGUGACCAAGAAAUCAAAAAUGUGUUUGUUCCCCUCCUUCCUCAACACAGAGAAUGGUCCUCAUGCCACAUCCACCCUCCAGCUUAUUGAAGUGAACAAAUAAACACAAAUGAUGUCCCCUGCUUCCAGC
RNAcentral lists this long non-coding RNA (2700 nucleotides) under Homo sapiens (human). Its description in RNAcentral is "non-protein coding LINC01570:8". The record is from RNAcentral. Lineage: Eukaryota; Metazoa; Chordata; Mammalia; Primates; Hominidae.